CAGAAGUGCGAAUGCUGACAUGAGUAACGACAAUGCGAGUGAAAAACUCGCACGCCGAAAGACCAAGGUUUCCUGCGCAACGUUAAUCGACGCAGGGUUAGUCGGUCCCUAAGGCGAGGCUGAAAAGCGUAGUCGAUGGAAAACAGGUUAAUAUUCCUGUACUUCCAGUUAUUGCGAUGGAGGGACGGAGAAGGUUAGGCCAGCCUGGCGUUGGUUGUCCA
Molecule: ribosomal RNA, 221 nt
Filed under: Acinetobacter baumannii
Lineage: Bacteria; Pseudomonadati; Pseudomonadota; Gammaproteobacteria; Moraxellales; Moraxellaceae
Description: partial 23S ribosomal RNA
Rfam family: Bacterial large subunit ribosomal RNA
Source: RNAcentral